Herpailurus yagouaroundi (jaguarundi) is the source of this 1228-nucleotide long non-coding RNA. RefSeq lists it as uncharacterized. NCBI's taxonomy places the organism in Eukaryota, Metazoa, Chordata, Mammalia, Carnivora, Felidae. The transcript is spliced from 3 exons. The record is from RefSeq and is a predicted model, not a curated record.
AGCCGCCCGGUUACCGGUAGCCAGCGCAGACCCUUCCUGAUGCGGCAACCCGCCAGCCCAGCGCGCCCAGGUCACGCCGCCGGAAGCCGCCUGGACUACCCCGGAAACGGAAGUCAGGGGGCGCCGUCCCAGAAGCUCUGAGCUAGGGACGGGCCCUGGCGACAGUCGUGGAGAGAGCAACACGCGCCUGGAGGUCUGUGCGCGCUGACGCCGGGCAGGGGAAUGGAAAUGAACCAGCACAUAGUGUAUCGAUUCUUUCUCAGGCUCGUAACAUUACGGAAUCCCUGUUGAAGUGCAAGCUGGACUGGCGGAAAUCAGAUUUCCCAUAUCUUCUCAAAGGCUGUUUGUCAAGAUUAGAUGCCUGGAGAGAGAGACUGAGACAGACAGAAGACAUACACAGAGAGAGAGACUGACUGACUUGUAUCUUUGAGAAAAGAAGGACACAGAAAAUUGCAGGGUAACCAGACCCUGUCUGAGAGAGAAUUCUUUCUUUGUGCUAACAGUGGAGAAAUGCGGGGCUGUCAUAUGAGGAGCAGUCUUACUCUUUGUGUAUCAGGUAAGGCAGAAAAGAGAAGACUAAGGUUCAAGGAAAGGGAGAAUUAGAAGCGGCCAAAUGAUUGAAAUCAACAAAAGGACGGCCAAGAAAUAUGAGAAACGAAGAGGAAGGAAAGACUGAGAGGGCGUUCUGUCAAUAGCAUUUAAAAGAGAGUAAGGAAUGUAAAGUGACCCGCUGUGAGGGAGCUACAAGAUACCAUCUGUGUUCUUUUCCCUAUGAGACCCUCUCUUCUGAAAAGAAUUGUCAUCCUCAAGCCCCGAACAGCACUGCACUAUUUUGUUGGUGAUGUUGCUUUUAAAAUGUAGACUAUGAUGUUAUUUUAAGAUUUCAAUUAAUCUGCGACAACAUUCCAGUAUUUUGUAAAAUGAAAAUAUGCCGAGUCAUCCUGUCAAGAGAGAGGAUAACCUUCAAGAAGCUAGGGUAUUUUUUUCCCUAUCAUCAUGGUUGCCGAUUUUGACAGGGAGUUACCCAACGUGCAAGGAAUAUUCCUUGGUGUUAGCAGUGGGUUCCAUAUCAUGUUUUGAGCUAGUAUGGUCUUCUGGUCUAGAGCCAUUUGUGUCUGAAAAUGAUGGUUGUAGUAACAAUUUGUCAUAUUCUCUUUGUAGCAAGUUCCUUUUGCUCAUGAGCCUGUUUUUAUUGAAGAAGCAUUUAGUGUAGGUAAAUGACCCUUGC